GGCUAUAUAGCUCAUCGGUAGAGUGCAUGCCUAGCGUGCAUGAGGUUCUGAGUUCAAUCCCCAGUACCUCCA
RNAcentral lists this transfer RNA (72 nucleotides) under Camelus bactrianus (Bactrian camel). It matches the Rfam family "tRNA". Rfam says of the family: Transfer RNA (tRNA) molecules are approximately 80 nucleotides in length. Their secondary structure includes four short double-helical elements and three loops (D, anti-codon, and T loops). The record is from Rfam by way of RNAcentral. Lineage: Eukaryota; Metazoa; Chordata; Mammalia; Artiodactyla; Camelidae. RNAcentral also lists the same sequence under 3 other names.